RNAcentral lists this long non-coding RNA (232 nucleotides) under Phoenix dactylifera (date palm). RNAcentral describes it as "long non-coding RNA (PDAC_LNC018664)". Lineage: Eukaryota; Viridiplantae; Streptophyta; Magnoliopsida; Arecales; Arecaceae. The record is from RNAcentral.
GCCUAAGCUAAUACACAUGUGAUAUAUAUUUUUCUUAAGCUUGGCAACUAUCAAAGCAAGGGGAAUACUAAAGUGUAGUGUGCAUAAACAGAAUGACUUUCUUAGAGCACUAGUACUUCCACCACAAUAGGGUACCGCCUGAGUUUUAGGUGCACUACUCAAGUCCACAAAUGUUUUCUACAAUUUAUUAGAACCUGAUCCAUCACAUUUUCAGAAUAUCACAUGUUGUCUA